RNAcentral lists this ribosomal RNA (418 nucleotides) under uncultured bacterium. Its description in RNAcentral is "bacterial SSU rRNA". It matches the Rfam family "Bacterial small subunit ribosomal RNA", at positions 359 to 777 of the family's 1533-position model. The record is from RNAcentral.
AAUUGGUCAAUGGACGAGAGUCUGAACCAGCCAAGUAGCGUGAAGGAUGAAGGUCCUACGGAUUGUAAACUUCUUUUAUAAGGGAAUAAAACCUCCCACGUGUGGGAGCUUGUAUGUACCUUAUGAAUAAGCAUCGGCUAACUCCGUGCCAGCAGCCGCGGUAAUACGGAGGAUGCGAGCGUUAUCCGGAUUUAUUGGGUUUAAAGGGAGCGCAGACGGGUCGUUAAGUCAGCUGUGAAAGUUUGGGGCUCAACCUUAAAAUUGCAGUUGAUACUGGCGUCCUUGAGUGCGGUUGAGGUGUGCGGAAUUCGUGGUGUAGCGGUGAAAUGCUUAGAUAUCACGAAGGACUCCGAUUGCGAAGGCAGCACACUAAGCCGUAACUGACGUUCAUGCUCGAAAGUGUGGGUAUCAAACAGGA